GUUUGAGCGGCGUCCCAUGCGCUGUGGGACGGUCCAGAUCCAGGAAGUGCACGCGCUCAGAUAGCCCAAAUCAACACAAAGCAGAUGAGUGUCCUGCAGAAACCAGUUUUGGACUAGGAGGUUAUUGCGUGUACAACUGUGGCCCAAGAGAGAAGCGAGCAUCUGCUUCCAGAGAAAAGUGGUCAGUCAUCUGUGGUUAGCCCACUAAAGUCUCUUCCCUGAAAUGUUUGUCACUCUGUCUGUCGAAAUCACAACUGCUGGUUUGGGCCGCACCAUGUUCCAGUAGGCCUAUCAGACACUUAUGUUGUCAUCUGGGACUGUUUGGAUUGUUAGUAUUGUGCAGUCAGAGUGGCAUGUUUUAAACUUCCCAUUACAUACUAUAUGUAUGUAGUGGAAAUAAACGUUCAUUGAAAUGUAACAAUGUGUUCAUAUUACCCACCUAACGUUCUGAAACUGAAUUAUACGGAUGAUAGUGCGUUGACUUUCUGUUAUCCUUCUUUUUUACUCGCUGAGUGUAGCUGUCUAGCUCCACAUGGGACUGGAGAUAUGUGUAUGUGUGUAAGGCUCUGCUCUACAGGACUGUGUGUAAGGGUGGUAUAGUUAUGUCUAUCUGUUGCUAUGACGGCAGUCAUCAGCAGAGGCUGUGAGUGGGUGUAGGGUACAGUGUGCUGCUUAUCCUUGCUGACUUGUGUGCAUGGGUUUGUGCAAUUCGGACUGCUUCCAUUACUACAAAUGUGAAAUGUUUUAUGCUGAUCAAAUGAAUUUCUUAUUCAUUCAAUUUCAAAUUUAAUUCAAUAAAUCAACUCAUAAGCAGACAUGCAUUUACAUUUACAUGCAUGCUUUACAUUUGUUGUCUAUAAGUCAAGUCCCACAUAGUGCCCGUAAUACAGCAUGGAAAAAUAAAAAAUGACUUCCUGCCAUGUUCCAUGUCUGCACACCCCUUCCAACAUUAAAAAAAAGGUCAAAUAUAAAAUAAAACGAUAAAAAUAAAAUACAAAAAGUAAUAAAA
Long non-coding RNA from Megalobrama amblycephala (Wuchang bream), 1009 nucleotides. RefSeq lists it as uncharacterized. Lineage: Eukaryota; Metazoa; Chordata; Actinopteri; Cypriniformes; Xenocyprididae. The transcript has 2 exons. The record is from RefSeq and is a predicted model, not a curated record.